GACGAACGCUGGCGGCGUGCUUAACACAUGCAAGUCGAACGACGAGCGACGGGCUCUUGCUUCUGUCACUCUUAGUGGCGGACGGGGGAGUAACGCGUAAACAACCUGCCCUUCAGAGGGGGACAACGGUAGGAAACGACUGCUAAUACCGCAUACGUUCUAACCUCGGCAUCGAGGAUAGAUGAAAGGUUGCCUCUACAUUUAAGCUAGCACUGAGGGGGGUGAGUGCGUUUGCUUAGCUAGUUGGUGGGGUUACGGCCAUCCGAGGCGAUGAUCAGUAGCCCGCCUGGGUGGAUGGACGGCCCAAAUGGGACGUAGACACGGGCCAGACCUCCUCGGGAGGCCGCAGUGGGGAAUCUUUCGGCAAUGACGGAAGUCUGAAGGAACCACCCCGCCGGAGUGAUGGAUGGUUUCGGGUUGUUAAGCCCUGUUAAUCGGGACGAAAGGACUUCUUGCGAAUCUAUGGACGUAUUGACGGUACCGGAACAGAAAGCCACGGCUAACUACGUG
RNAcentral lists this ribosomal RNA (510 nucleotides) under uncultured bacterium. RNAcentral describes it as "partial 16S ribosomal RNA". It matches the Rfam family "Bacterial small subunit ribosomal RNA", at positions 28 to 507 of the family's 1533-position model. The record is from RNAcentral.